GACGAACGCUGGCGGCGUGCCUAAUACAUGCAAGUAGAACGCUGAAGGAGGAGCUUGCUCUUCUGGAUGAGUUGCGAACGGGUGAGUAACGCGUAGGUAACCUGCCUGGUAGCGGGGGAUAACUAUUGGAAACGAUAGCUAAUACCGCAUAAGAGUAGAUGUUGCAUGACAUUUGCUUAAAAGGUGCAAUUGCAUCACUACCAGAUGGACCUGCGUUGUAUUAGCUAGUUGGUGGGGUAACGGCUCACCAAGGCGACGAUACAUAGCCGACCGGAGAGGGUGAGCGGCCACACUGGGACUGAGACACGGCCCAGACUCCUACGGGAGGCAGCAGGAGGGAUUCGUCGGCAAGGGACGGAAGACUGACCGAGCAACGCCGCGUGAGUGAAGAAGGUUGUCGGACCGGAAAGCUCGGUUGUAAGAGAAGAACGAGUGUGAGCGUGGAAAGUUCACACUGUGACGGUAUCUGACCAGAAAGGGACGGCUAACUACGUG
This 495-nucleotide ribosomal RNA is filed under the name uncultured bacterium. RNAcentral's name for it is "partial 16S ribosomal RNA". It matches the Rfam family "Bacterial small subunit ribosomal RNA", at positions 28 to 507 of the family's 1533-position model. The record is from RNAcentral.